Molecule: ribosomal RNA, 269 nt
Filed under: uncultured bacterium
Lineage: Bacteria
Description: partial 16S ribosomal RNA
Rfam family: Bacterial small subunit ribosomal RNA
Source: RNAcentral
UUAUUCGAUGAUAGCGAAGAACCUUACCUGGGCUUGACAUGCAUUUGCCAGCCCGUGAAAGCGGGUCUUCUUUCGAGACAAGUGCACAGAUGUUGCAUGGCUGUCGUCAGCUCGUGCCGUGAGGUGUUGGGUUAAGUCCCGCAACGAGCGCAACCCUCGUCGUUAGUUACUAUGUCUAGCGAGACUGCUCCUAAAAGGGGAGAGGAAGGUGGGGACGAGGUCAAGUCGGCACGGCUCUUACGCCCAGGGCUACACACACGCUACAAUGG